Molecule: small RNA, 827 nt
Filed under: Pongo abelii (Sumatran orangutan)
Lineage: Eukaryota; Metazoa; Chordata; Mammalia; Primates; Hominidae
Description: retained intron
Source: RNAcentral
CUCUAUGUCUGUGUUCCUGAGGGUAGGGAAGGAGACAGAGGAGAGUUGAGCGGUGAAUCCCAGUUGCGUUGCUCUUUAUGCAUUCUUUGUGUGUGUGCAUGUGGGACAGAGUCUUGCAACAUUGCCCAGGCUGGACUUGAACUGCUGGGCUCCAAGUGAUCCUCCACCUCUGCCUCCCAGAGUGCUGAGGUUACAAGUGUGAACCACUGCCCUGGCCUUUGUACGUGUUGGGGAGCCUUUAAACUAGAGCCCAAGCUUACCUGUGAAGCUGUGAAGUCUCCUAAUGUGGUUGCUUUGCUUAUUCAACUUAGGAUAUUUGGUUUUACUGUUAAACCCCGGUUUUGUUUGUUGCUUACAGUUUGACAACUUAAAUGCUGCCCAUGAAACGUCUAAGUUGGAAAUUGAAGCUAGCCACUCGGAAAAAGUUGAAUUGCUAAAGAAGGCCUAUGAAGCCUCCCUUUCAGAAAUUAAGAAAGGCCAUGAAAUAGAAAAGAAAUCGCUUGAAGAUUUACUUUCUGAGAAGCAGGAAUCGCUAGAGAAGCAAAUCAACGAUCUGAAGAGUGAAAAUGAUGCUUUAAAUGAAAAAUUGAAAUCAGAAGAACAAAAAAGAAGAGCAAGAGAGAAAGCAAAUUUGAAAAAUCCUCAGAUCAUGUAUCUGGAACAGGAGUUAGAAAGCCUGAAAGCUGUGUUAGAGAUCAAGAAUGAGAAACUGCAUCAACAGGACAUCAAGUUAAUGAAAAUGGAGAAACUGGUGGACAACAACACAGCAUUGGUUGACAAAUUGAAGCGAUUCCAGCAGGAGAAUGAAGAAUUAAAAGCUCGGAUGG